This 497-nucleotide ribosomal RNA is filed under the name uncultured bacterium. RNAcentral describes it as "partial 16S ribosomal RNA". It matches the Rfam family "Bacterial small subunit ribosomal RNA", at positions 28 to 507 of the family's 1533-position model. The record is from RNAcentral.
GAUGAACGCUGGCGGCGUGCCUAAUACAUGCAAGUCGAGCGAACAGACGCGGAGCUUGCUCCUCUGACGUUAGCGGCGGACGUGUGAGUAACACGUGUAUAACCUACCUAUAAUACUGGGAUAACUUCGGGACACCGGAGCUUAUACCGGAUAAUAUAUUGAACCGCAUGGUUCAAUAGUGAAAGACGGUUUUGCUGUCACUUAUAGAUGGAUCCGCGCGGCAUUAGCUAGUUGGUAAGGUAACGGCUUAUCAAGGCAACGAUGCGUAGCCGACCUGAGAGGGUGGUAGGCGACACGGGAGGGGGGACAGGGACCAGGGGCCUACGGGAGGCAGCAGUAGGGAAUCUUCGGCAAUGGGCGGAAACCUGGCGGAGCAACGCCGAGUGAGUGAUAAAGAUCUUCGGAUCGUAAAAAUGUGUUAUGAGGGAAAAACAAAUGUGUAAGGAAAUAUGCACGUAUUGACGGUAACUGAUCAGAAAGCCACGGCUAACUACGUG